AUCAGACGUGCCAGGAGAAAAGGAAUAAAAUCAUCAGUCAGGCUGGGAUGUACAGGAAAAACCUGAAACAAGACUACCACAAAAGCCACGGCUUGGAUAAAUGUUCAUAUGGUGGAGACCAUAUGGAGAGGUGUCUGGCUCAUCUUUGGAGAAACAAAGGCACAAGAAGAAUGAAGGUACACUGACAAUAUCUCAGGGCAACAAAAACAAU
RNAcentral lists this long non-coding RNA (211 nucleotides) under Homo sapiens (human). RNAcentral describes it as "HSALNT0145969". Lineage: Eukaryota; Metazoa; Chordata; Mammalia; Primates; Hominidae. The record is from RNAcentral.